GACGAACGCUGGCGGCGUGCUUAACACAUGCAAGUCGAACGGAAAGGCCCUGCUUUUGUGGGGUGCUCGAGUGGCGAAAGGGUGAGUAACACGUGAGUAACCUGCCCUUGACUUUGGGAUAACUUCAGGAAACUGGGGCUAAUACCGGAUAGGAGCUCCUGCUGCAUGGUGGGGGUUGGAAAGUUUCGGCGGUUGGGGAUGGACUCGCGGCUUAUCAGCUUGUUGGUGGGGUAGUGGCUUACCAAGGCUUUGACGGGUAGCCGGCCUGAGAGGGUGACCGGCCACAUUGGGACUGAGAUACGGCCCAGACUCCUACGGGAGGCAGCAGUGGGGAAUAUUGCACAAUGGGCGGAAGCCUGAUGCAGCAACGCCGCGUGCGGGAUGACGGCCUUCGGGUUGUAAACCGCUUUCACCUGUGACGAAGCGUGAGUGACGGUAAUGGGUAAAGAAGCACCGGCUAACUACGUG
This 468-nucleotide ribosomal RNA is filed under the name uncultured bacterium. RNAcentral's name for it is "partial 16S ribosomal RNA". It matches the Rfam family "Bacterial small subunit ribosomal RNA", at positions 28 to 507 of the family's 1533-position model. The record is from RNAcentral.